RNAcentral lists this ribosomal RNA (301 nucleotides) under uncultured bacterium. RNAcentral's name for it is "partial 16S ribosomal RNA". It matches the Rfam family "Bacterial small subunit ribosomal RNA", at positions 509 to 807 of the family's 1533-position model. The record is from RNAcentral.
CAGCCGCCGCGGGAAUACGAAGGGUGCAAGCGUUACUCGGAAUUACUGGGCGUAAAGCGUGCGUAGGCGGCUUUUUAAGUCGGAUGUGAAAUCCCUGAGCUUAACUUAGGAAUUGCAUUCGAUACUGGGAAGCUAGAGUAUGGGAGAGGAUGGUAGAAUUCCAGGUGUAGCGGUGAAAUGCGUAGAGAUCUGGAGGAAUACCGAUGGCGAAGGCAGCCAUCUGGCCUAAUACUGACGCUGAGGUACGAAAGCAUGGGGAGCAAACAGGAUUAGAUACCCCGGUAGUCCCUGUCUCUUAUAC